GCGUGAGUGAUGACGGCCCUAGGGUUGUAAAGCUCUUUCACCGGUGAAGAUAAUGACGGUAACCGGAGAAGAAGCCCCGGCUAACUUCGUGCCAGCAGCCGCGGUAAUACGAAGGGGGCUAGCGUUGUUCGGAAUAACUGGGCGUAAAGCGCGCGUAGGCGGGCUGUUAAGUCAGGGGUGAAAUCCCGGGGCUCAACCCCGGAACUGCCUUUGAUACUGGCAGUCUAGAGUCCGGAAGAGGUGAGUGGAAUUCCGAGUGUAGAGGUGAAAUUCGU
This 275-nucleotide ribosomal RNA is filed under the name uncultured bacterium. RNAcentral describes it as "partial 16S ribosomal RNA". It matches the Rfam family "Bacterial small subunit ribosomal RNA", at positions 399 to 691 of the family's 1533-position model. The record is from RNAcentral.